UACGAAGGGGGCUAGCGUUGUUCGGAAUUACUGGGCGUAAAGCGCGUGUAGGCGGCCAUCUAAGUCGGGCGUGAAAUCCCACGGCUCAACCGUGGAAGUGCACUCGAAACUGGAUGGCUAGAGUCCUGGAGAGGAAGGUGGAAUGCUUGGUGUAGAGGUGAAAUUCGUAGAUAUCAAGCGGAACACCGGUGGCGAAGGCGGCCUUCUGGACAGUGACGUGACGCUGAGACGCGAAAAGCUGAGGGGAGCAAACAGGG
Molecule: ribosomal RNA, 257 nt
Filed under: uncultured bacterium
Lineage: Bacteria
Description: partial 16S ribosomal RNA
Rfam family: Bacterial small subunit ribosomal RNA
Source: RNAcentral